UGGCUCAGAACGAACGCUGGCGGCGUGCUUAACACAUGCAAGUUGAGCCGUAAUAGAUGUAGCAAUACGUGCUCACGAGCGGCAUACUGGUGAUGUUUGCUUCGUAAUCUACCCAGUAGUGGGUAAUAACUAGCCUAAAGGUUGGCUAAUACCGCAUACGUCCUACGGGAGAAAGCGGGGGAUCGUAAGACCUCGCGCUAUCCGAUUAGCCGAAGCCUUAUUAGCUAGUUGGUAGGGUAACCCCCUACCAAGAGGAAAAACCGUAUCUGGUAUCAGAGGACGACCAGCCACAC
RNAcentral lists this ribosomal RNA (293 nucleotides) under uncultured Pseudomonadota bacterium. RNAcentral's name for it is "uncultured proteobacterium partial 16S ribosomal RNA". It matches the Rfam family "Bacterial small subunit ribosomal RNA", at positions 20 to 313 of the family's 1533-position model. Lineage: Bacteria; Pseudomonadati; Pseudomonadota. The record is from RNAcentral.